CCCCACAAGAUUAAAGAAGAGAGUUAAAGCAAGAAUCCUCAUGACAAGGGGUGGCUGGCUACUCUGGCAUCUUCAAGUCUGAGGUUGCUGUUUUCCAGGGGGUGAUGUGUCACCGAUGUGGAAUUUUGGGCAUCCUGGAACAUCUGAGCCAGAGAGAUUCUGAAGAUGGAGGAACAGAGGAACAUUUUGGCACCUCUCAAAGUACAGACAGAUGCCACAACCCAGCUGCCAACAGGAAUCCAGACCCUGGCUAACCAUCACCCAGCUUCCAUCUACUGUGUUGGGCAGACCUGCCUGACUUGGAUAUCAGCUUCUCCAUGAAAAUAUGCAGUGCCUAAAAUUUACACUGAUCAAUUUGUUCACGAGAAAGGACAUUUCUAAAAGAGCGAGGAGACUGACCCCAGAACCAAGAGGAGUACUGGAGAGCAGAAGAUGAAGAAAAACCUUUAAACAGCAGAGCAGUGAAGUGGAGGGAGAGGCGGCCCCUCUCCUUUGCCAGAGACUCCCACUCCCAGAUGCAGGCCGGAGCGAUCCCUCAUAAUUUAAGCUGACACCCCUCAGCGGAGAUGAAAGGAACACCACUCGCUGCUCUCCAACAACAAAUGUCAGCAUCCCUGGAGGCCAUUUAGACACAAACGCAGCAUAAAUCUGACUCCUAGUGGGGAAGUCCAGAGAUUAAGUCUCCAUGCACAGCCUACCAGAGUGAAAUGAAUUUGCUUGGCACAAAGUUUG
Pongo pygmaeus (Bornean orangutan) is the source of this 732-nucleotide long non-coding RNA. RefSeq lists it as uncharacterized. NCBI's taxonomy places the organism in Eukaryota, Metazoa, Chordata, Mammalia, Primates, Hominidae. The transcript has 3 exons. The record is from RefSeq and is a predicted model, not a curated record.